This 75-nucleotide transfer RNA is filed under the name Anaerolineaceae bacterium. RNAcentral's name for it is "tRNA-Pro". It matches the Rfam family "tRNA". Rfam says of the family: Transfer RNA (tRNA) molecules are approximately 80 nucleotides in length. RNAcentral also lists the same sequence under 2 other names. Lineage: Bacteria; Bacillati; Chloroflexota; Anaerolineae; Anaerolineales; Anaerolineaceae. The record is from RNAcentral.
CGGGGUGUGGCGCAGCCCGGAUAGCGCGCUUGCAUGGGGUGCAAGAGGUCCCGGGUUCGAAUCCCGGCACCCCGA